GGCUCAGUGGCGCAGUUGGUCAGCGCGGGACCCUCAUAAGGUCCAGGUCGCAGGUUCGAGACCUGCCUGAGCCCCCA
RNAcentral lists this transfer RNA (77 nucleotides) under Methylorubrum populi. Its description in RNAcentral is "tRNA-Met". It matches the Rfam family "tRNA". Rfam says of the family: Transfer RNA (tRNA) molecules are approximately 80 nucleotides in length. Their secondary structure includes four short double-helical elements and three loops (D, anti-codon, and T loops). Further hydrogen bonds mediate the characteristic L-shaped molecular structure. tRNAs have two regions of fundamental functional importance: the anti-codon, which is responsible for specific mRNA codon recognition, and the 3' end, to which the tRNAs corresponding amino acid is attached (by aminoacyl-tRNA synthetases). tRNAs cope with the degeneracy of the genetic code in two manners: having more than one tRNA (with a specific anti-codon) for a particular amino acid; and 'wobble' base-pairing, i.e. permitting non-standard base-pairing at the 3rd anti-codon position. Lineage: Bacteria; Pseudomonadati; Pseudomonadota; Alphaproteobacteria; Hyphomicrobiales; Methylobacteriaceae. The record is from RNAcentral.